This 776-nucleotide ribosomal RNA is filed under the name Dothiorella sarmentorum. RNAcentral describes it as "partial large subunit ribosomal RNA". It matches the Rfam family "Eukaryotic large subunit ribosomal RNA", at positions 108 to 904 of the family's 3401-position model. Lineage: Eukaryota; Fungi; Ascomycota; Dothideomycetes; Botryosphaeriales; Botryosphaeriaceae. The record is from RNAcentral.
CUCAAAUUUGAAAGCUGGCCCCUUUGGGGUCCGCGUUGUAAUUUGUAGAGGAUGAUUCGGCGAGGGCUCCCGUCUAAGUCCCCUGGAACGGGGCGUCAUAGAGGGUGAGAAUCCCGUAUGUGAUGGGUUGCCUUAGCCAUGUGAAUCUCCUUCGACGAGUCGAGUUGUUUGGGAAUGCAGCUCUAAAUGGGAGGUAAAUUUCUUCUAAAGCUAAAUACCGGCCAGAGACCGAUAGCGCACAAGUAGAGUGAUCGAAAGAUGAAAAGCACUUUGGAAAGAGAGUUAAAAAGUACGUGAAAUUGUUGAAAGGGAAGCGCUUGCAGCCAGACUUGUCCGCAGUUGCUCAGCCGGUCUCCUGACCGGCGUACUCUUCUGCGGCCAGGCCAGCAUCAGUUCGGGCGGUCGGAUAAAGACCUCGGGAAUGUAGCUCCUCUCGGGGAGUGUUAUAGCCCGGGGUGGAAUGCGGCCAGCCUGGACUGAGGAUCUCGCUUCGGCUAGGAUGCUGGCGUAAUGGCUGUAAGCGGCCCGUCUUGAAACACGGACCAAGGAGUCUAACAUCUAUGCGAGUGUUUGGGUGUCAAACCCAUACGCGUAAUGAAAGUGAACGGAGGUGGGAACCCUCAGGUGCACCAUCGACCGAUCCUGAUGUCUUCGGAUGGAUUUGAGUAUGAGCAUAGCUGUUGGGACCCGAAAGAUGGUGAACUAUGCCUGAAUAGGGUGAAGCCAGAGGAAACUCUGGUGGAGGCUCGCAGCGGUUCUGACGUGCAAAUCGAUCG